This 254-nucleotide ribosomal RNA is filed under the name uncultured bacterium. RNAcentral describes it as "partial 16S ribosomal RNA". It matches the Rfam family "Bacterial small subunit ribosomal RNA", at positions 524 to 776 of the family's 1533-position model. The record is from RNAcentral.
UACGUAGGGUGCGAGCGUUAAUCGGAAUUACUGGGCGUAAAGCGUGCGCAGGCGGUUCGUUGUGUCGGCGGUGAAAGCCCCGGGCUUAACCUGGGAAUGGCCGUCGAAACUGGCGAACUGGAGUGUGGCAGAGGGGGGUGGAAUUCCGCGUGGUAGCAGUGAAAUGCGUAGAGAUGCGGAGGAACACCGAUGGCGAAGGCAGCCCCCUGGGCUGACACUGACGCUCAGGCACGAAAGCGUGGGGAGCAAACAGG